RNAcentral lists this ribosomal RNA (497 nucleotides) under uncultured bacterium. RNAcentral's name for it is "partial 16S ribosomal RNA". It matches the Rfam family "Bacterial small subunit ribosomal RNA", at positions 28 to 507 of the family's 1533-position model. The record is from RNAcentral.
GAUGAACGCUGGCGGCGUGCCUAAUACAUGCAAGUCGAGCGAACGGACGAGAAGCUUGCUUCUCUGAUGUUAGCGGCGGACGGGUGAGUAACACGUGGAUAACCUACCUAUAAGACUGGGAUAACUUCGGGAAACCGGAGCUAAUACCGGAUGAUAUUUUGAACCGCAUGGUUCAAAAGUGAAAGACGGUCUUGCUGUCACUUAUAGAUGGAUCCGCGCUGCAUUAGCUAGUUGGUAAGUUAACGGCUUACCAAGGCGACGAUGCAUAGCCGACCUGAGAGGGUGAUCGGCCACACUGGAGCGGAGACACGGACCAGGCUCCUACGGGAGGCAGCAGUAGGGAAUCUUCCGCAAUGGGCGAAAGCCUGACGGAGCAACGCCGCGCGAGUGAUGAAGGUCUUCGGAUCGUAAAACUCAGUUAUGAGGGAAGAACAUAUGUGUAAGUAACUGUGCACAGCUUGACGGUACCUAAUCAGAAAGCCACGGCUAACUACGUG